RNAcentral lists this transfer RNA (76 nucleotides) under Calditrichota bacterium. RNAcentral's name for it is "Calditrichaeota bacterium tRNA-Lys". It matches the Rfam family "tRNA". Rfam says of the family: Transfer RNA (tRNA) molecules are approximately 80 nucleotides in length. RNAcentral also lists the same sequence under 1 other name. Lineage: Bacteria; Pseudomonadati; Calditrichota. The record is from RNAcentral.
GCACCUGUAGCUCAAUUGGCAGAGCAGCUGACUCUUAAUCAGUUGGUUCGGGGUUCGAUUCCCUGCAGGUGUACCA